This 784-nucleotide ribosomal RNA is filed under the name uncultured bacterium. RNAcentral's name for it is "bacterial SSU rRNA". It matches the Rfam family "Bacterial small subunit ribosomal RNA", at positions 54 to 847 of the family's 1533-position model. The record is from RNAcentral.
CAUGCAGUCGACGGUGAACUUUGGAGCUUGCUCUAAGGGGAUCAGUGGCGAACGGGUGAGUAACACGUGAGUAACCUGCCCCGGACUCUGGAAUAAGCGCUGGAAACGGCGUCUAAUACCGGAUACGAGACGCAACCGCAUGGUUAGUGUCUGGAAAGUUUUUCGGUCUGGGAUGGACUCGCGGCCUAUCAGCUUGUUGGUGAGGUAAUGGCUCACCAAGGCGACGACGGGUAGCCGGCCUGAGAGGGCGACCGGCCACACUGGGACUGAGACACGGCCCAGACUCCUACGGGAGGCAGCAGUGGGGAAUAUUGCACAAUGGGCGAAAGCCUGAUGCAGCGACGCCGCGUGAGGGAUGACGGCCUUCGGGUUGUAAACCUCUUUCAGCAGGGAAGAAGCGAAAGUGACGGUACCUGCAGAAGAAGCACCGGCUAACUACGUGCCAGCAGCCGCGGUAAUACGUAGGGUGCGAGCGUUGUCCGGAAUUAUUGGGCGUAAAGAGCUUGUAGGCGGUUUGUCGCGUCUGCUGUGAAAAUCCGGGGCUCAACCCCGGACUUGCAGUGGGUACGGGCAGACUAGAGUGUGGUAGGGGAGACUGGAAUUCCUGGUGUAGCGGUGAAAUGCGCAGAUAUCAGGAGGAACACCGAUGGCGAAGGCAGGUCUCUGGGCCACUACUGACGCUGAGAAGCGAAAGCAUGGGGAGCGAACAGGAUUAGAUACCCUGGUAGUCCAUGCCGUAAACGUUGGGCGCUAGGUGUGGGACUCAUUCCACGAGUUCCGUGCC